UACGAAGGAUCCAAGCGUUGUCCGGAUUUACUGGGUUUAAAGGGUGCGUAGGCGGACUUUUAAGUCAGUGGCGAAAGCCUGUAGCUUAACUAUAGAAUUGCCAUUGAAACUGAAAGUCUCGAGUGUGGUUGAGGUAACUGGAAUAUAUCAUGUAGCGGUGAAAUGCUUAGAUAUGAUAUAGAACACCAAUUGCGAAGGCAGGUUACUGAGCCAUUACUGACGCUGAGGCACGAAAGCGUGGGGAUCAAACAGG
RNAcentral lists this ribosomal RNA (253 nucleotides) under uncultured bacterium. Its description in RNAcentral is "partial 16S ribosomal RNA". It matches the Rfam family "Bacterial small subunit ribosomal RNA", at positions 524 to 776 of the family's 1533-position model. The record is from RNAcentral.